UACAGAGGUCUCAAGCGCUGUUCGGAUUCAUUGGGCGUAAAGGGUGUGUAGGUGGCGCCGUAAGUCGGGUGUGAAAUUUCGGAGCUUAACUCCGAAACUGCAUUCGAUACUGCGGUGCUUGAGGACUGGAGAGGAGACUGGAAUUCAUGGUGUAGCAGUGAAAUGCGUAGAGAUCAUGAGGAAGACCAGUGGCGAAGGCGGGUCUCUGGACAGUUCCUGACACUGAGACACGAAGGCCAGGGGAGCAAACGGG
RNAcentral lists this ribosomal RNA (253 nucleotides) under uncultured bacterium. RNAcentral's name for it is "partial 16S ribosomal RNA". It matches the Rfam family "Bacterial small subunit ribosomal RNA", at positions 524 to 776 of the family's 1533-position model. The record is from RNAcentral.